UGAGAGAAAAGGCAAGAACGAGCGGCGGAAGACGGUUUGCUCCGAAUCUACAUUGAGAAGAGUUGAAGAGCGGCCGGAUCUGCAAGAUUGCAGAAGAAUCGAACUUGCUCAAGACGAUUGCACCACUAUCCACCGCUAGAUCUAGAAAAGUUCCCAGCAAGAUUGCACAAUUUCAAGAAUGGCCACCGCUUAUUUCUGGGCGGUUGAUUCAAGCAAUUGAUGAGAUGACCCUCUGUAGCCGUGGCUUGAACAAAGAGAACCAAGAAGGCUGGUAUUGUCGGGAAGUAUGGUGAAGAAGGAUUUUCUGUAACUUUGUGUUUGGGGACUGCAGAUUGUAUAGGACUGGAGCCAAAAGACAGUUUUGUAAAUUGUUGCGAAAAGAAUCUAGAUCCUAGAAUAAGAUUCUCUAUUUUCAUAUCACUUGUGUUCAAGACUUGACGCAUAUCGUGUCAGGCUGACAACAACAACAACAAGAGUGACUUGCAUCCGCUGCUUUGAGAACUAGUCAUAGCAAUUGGUCAGCUUUUCCAAACCAUAGGGAGGAUUUAAGUAGGGAAGACGUCCAGACUUCAAAUAGAGGCAGUGAGGAGACUUCGUACU
This 600-nucleotide long non-coding RNA is filed under the name Rosa chinensis. RNAcentral describes it as "sRNA RchiOBHm_Chr4g0433631". The record is from RNAcentral. Lineage: Eukaryota; Viridiplantae; Streptophyta; Magnoliopsida; Rosales; Rosaceae.